GCUUUCCUCUCUCCGCACAGCGAUCGCCCCCCUCCUUCAGGGCCUCCAUCUCUGGCCGCGCCGCCCUGCUCGCCUCCCCCGCCCCCCUCCUCGCCUUCCCUGCCCCGAAGCAACUGCGACGCUGUGGAGCCGCGGCCGAGGUGGCGUGCAGGUGCUGCUUGUAGCGUCCAUGCGCAGCGGCCGGCGCGGCGCCUGGCCAUAGAGGGUUGGGCGACGCCAGAUCCAGCCGCGGCAGAGGCCUAAGUCCAGCCGGCGCGAUGGAGCCUGGAGACCAUGGACGAAGUGGCGUACGUGCGCGCGAAGUCCAAACAACAGGUUAAAUUUUCCAUGGAUCCUACCCACAAGGCAGCGCAAUACGCUUGCUCUGAUCUGCUCAAGUGUGGUCAGUGGCAAAUGAGGCAGAAACUCAAGGACUACUUUGAUGGUGUACCAGCAAACAAAGUAAGAACAACACCACCAAUGAAGAGUAUUCAGUAAUGAACAAUGAAAAGCACUAGCUGAGAUGUGGUCGAGCCCGAAGCAUAAGGAGAAGUGCCUGAAGGCUAAAGUGAAUCGUGGGAAAGUCAAGUAUGCUCACAAGACAGGCUCCUGGUGCUACAUUGCGCAGACUGAGUGGUAAUUUGCAAUUAUCUAUGUGACCAUGAUGUAAUUCUUAUGGAACUUGUGACUUCUGUUGGUGAAUUGAUGAAUCUGUUGACCUUUGUGUAAUUUUUCUGAACCUGUGACUUCUGUUGGUGAAUUGAUGAAUCUGUUGACCUUUGUGUAAUUUUUCUGAACCUGUGACUUCUGCUGGUCAAGAGAUGAAUCUGGGAAGAGAGAAUAUAGUCAUAAAUGUUGUGGGCUU
This is a long non-coding RNA of Panicum virgatum (switchgrass), 844 nucleotides long. RefSeq lists it as uncharacterized. NCBI's taxonomy places the organism in Eukaryota, Viridiplantae, Streptophyta, Magnoliopsida, Poales, Poaceae. The record is from RefSeq and is a predicted model, not a curated record. The transcript has 3 exons.